GGUUAAGUUAUUAAGGGCGCACGGUGGAUGCCUUGGCACUAGGAGCCGAUGAAAGACGGUACUAACACCGAUAUGCUUCGGGGAGCUGUAAGUAAGCUUUGAUCCGGAGAUUUCUGAAUGGGGGAACCCACUGCCCGUAAUGGGGUAGUACGUUUGCGUGAAUACAUAGCGCAAUCGAGGCAGACUCAGGGAACUGAAACAUCUAAGUACCUGAAGGAAGAGAAAGAAAAUUCGAUUCCCUUAGUAGCGGCGAGCGAAACGGGAAGAGCCCAAACCAAGAAGCUUGCUUCUUGGGGUUGUAGGACAUUCUAUACGGAGUUACAAAAGUAUGAAGUAGGCGAAGCGACUUGGAAAGGUCCGCCAUAGCAGGUAAAAGCCCUGUAGUCGAAAGUUCAUACCCUCUUGAAUGUAUCCUGAGUACGGCGGAACACGUGAAAUUCCGUCGGAAUCCGGGAGGACCAUCUCCCAAGGCUAAAUACUCCCUAGUGACCGAUAGUGAACCAGUACCGUGAGGGAAAGGUGAAAAGCACCCCGGAAGGGGAGUGAAAUAGAUCCUGAAACCGUGUGCCUACAAGUAGUUAGAGCCCGUUAAUGGGUGAUAGCGUGCCUUUUGUAGAAUGAACCGGCGAGUUACGAUUACGUGCAAGGUUAAACUGAGAAAGUGGAGCCGCAGCGAAAGCGAGUCUGAAUAGGGCGAAAUAGUACGUAGUCGUAGACCCGAAACCAGGUGAUCUACCCAUGUCCAGGUUGAAGGUUAGGUAACACUGACUGGAGGACCGAACCCACGUAUGUUGAAAAAUGCGGGGAUGAGGUGUGGGUAGCGGAGAAAUUCCAAUCGAACCUGGAGAUAGCUGGUUCUCUCCGAAAUAGCUUUAGGGCUAGCCUCGCGGCAAGAAUCUUGGAGGUAGAGCACUGUUUGGACUAGGGGCCCAUCCCGGGUUACCGAAUUCAGACAAACUCCGAAUGCCAAUGAUUUAUCCGCGGGAGUCAGACUGCGAGUGAUAAGAUCCGUAGUCAAGAGGGAAACAGCCCAGACCACCAGCUAAGGUCCCCAAGUAAUUGUUAAGUGGAAAAGGAUGUGGCGUUGCAUAGACAACCAGGAUGUUGGCUCAGAAGCAGCCAUCAUUUAAAGAGUGCGUAAUAGCUCACUGGUCGAGUGACACUGCGCCGAAAAUGUAUCGGGGCUAAACAAUUCACCGAAGCUGUGGAUGCAUACCAUAGGGUAUGCGUGGUAGGAGAGCGUUCUAAAUGCGUAGAAGUCAGACCGUAAGGACUGUUGGAGCGUUUAGAAGUGAGAAUGCCGGUAUGAGUAGCGAAAGACGGGUGAGAAUCCCGUCCACCGAAUGACUAAGGUUUCCUGAGGAAGGCUCGUCCGCUCAGGGUUAGUCGGGACCUAAGCCGAGGCCGAUAGGCGUAGGCGAUGGACAACAGGUUGAAAUUCCUGUACCACCUCCCUGCCACUUGAGUGAUGGGGUGACGCAGAAGGAUAGGGUAAGCACGCUGUUGGUUAUGCGUGUCCAAGCAGUAAGGCGUGAGUGUAGGCAAAUCCGCACUCUGUAACGUUGAGCUGUGAUGGCGAGCUCGUAUGAGCGAAGUUCCUGAUUUCACACUGCCAAGAAAAGCCUCUAACGAGGCAGGAGGUGCCCGUACCGCAAACCGACACAGGUAGUCGAGGAGAGAAUCCUAAGGUGAGCGAGAGAACUCUCGUUAAGGAACUCGGCAAAAUGACCCCGUAACUUAGGGAUAAGGGGUGCUCUCGGAGGUUAACGCUUCUGAGAGCCGCAGUGAAUAGGCCCAGGCGACUGUUUAGCAAAAACACAGGUCUCUGCAAAACCGUAAGGUGACGUAUAGGGGCUGACGCCUGCCCGGUGCUGGAAGGUUAAGAGGAGUGGUUAGCGCAAGCGAAGCUGCGAAUUGAAGCCCCAGUAAACGGCGGCCGUAACUAUAACGGUCCUAAGGUAGCGAAAUUCCUUGUCGGGUAAGUUCCGACCCGCACGAAAGGCGUAACGAUCUGGGCACUGUCUCAACGAGAGACUCGGUGAAAUUAUAGUACCUGUGAAGAUGCAGGUUACCCGCGACAGGACGGAAAGACCCCGUGGAGCUUUACUGUAACUUGAUAUUGAAUUUCGGUGCAACC
Lysinibacillus sp. BF-4 is the source of this 2137-nucleotide non-coding RNA. The record is from Rfam. Lineage: Bacteria; Bacillati; Bacillota; Bacilli; Caryophanales; Bacillaceae.